UUGAAUUCUAAAAAGAAAUUUAUUAACUCAGACUACAGAGAAGCAGAUUUUAUAUUACAUUUUUAACUGCAUUCAGCAAAUUUAACGACUAGGAAACCAACAAUCACUCGAUCCCAGCACCAGUAAUUAGACUUUAGAAGCAUCUAUAAUGAAGCAUCCCCGAUCGUCCGCUUCAUCCACAAUGAUAUGGCAGAUAUUAUUUGUUCCGAUACAGUUGACAUCUCUCUCUCCUUAUAGCAAACUGGAAUCUUUGGUCUUGCUUUACCCCUCUGGAUUGCAUUACGAGAUUCGUCGCUGCAAGCUUUGGGUACAGCAGUGCCGUUGUAGGCCUUGCAGAUGUAGCUUAUAAAAUUUUCAUAGUCCUCAUAAAGUGGUUGCCCAUCCACCACUACCCAAGGCACAUAUCGAUGAGGAGGCUGCAGGGCAUUUGUUUCAGCUGCAUAUUGUAAUUCAAGCUCUUUGCCAUAUCCACUACUGUAGCAAUCAGCUAUGGGUUUUGGGGUCCAAACCCAAUGUCUCAAAGCAUGAUUCCCAUUGGGGGUAUUUGCGCUCAUACACCAGAGACUCAAUGCAAUGGAUGAAACGAAAAUGAUCCUCCAACUGAGGCCAAACAUGAAUUGCACAAGCUUCCACGGUAUUCAAAUGGCAUUCGAAAGGACCAUGCUGGCAAACGAAGGAGUCAUUGCCGUUGAGUCUGGCAUUACCCCAAGGGGAGAGGUAGAGAUCUACAAUGGAAAAGAGCUCAUCAUCUUCAAAGAGCUCAAUCAGAUCAUUGACAAUGAAAUUGGCGCUGUAAGGACACAGGGAUUCAUAGUAUAAUCCCAAGGAGACUUUUCCUGAAUCUGAAGAAGUCGAAGAGGAGAAGCUAAAUAAUAAUAAAAGGUAAAACAAACAAGAGAAGGUUUUUGCUGCACCACAAACUGAAGCCAUUUGGGACUUUUGGAGGGAGGGGAUGAGCAAUCAGACUC
RNAcentral lists this unclassified non-coding RNA (968 nucleotides) under Hevea brasiliensis (rubber tree). Lineage: Eukaryota; Viridiplantae; Streptophyta; Magnoliopsida; Malpighiales; Euphorbiaceae. The record is from RNAcentral.